Molecule: ribosomal RNA, 397 nt
Filed under: uncultured bacterium
Lineage: Bacteria
Description: partial 16S ribosomal RNA
Rfam family: Bacterial small subunit ribosomal RNA
Source: RNAcentral
UGGGGAAUAUUGCACAAUGGGCGGAAGCCUGAUGCAGCAACGCCGCGUGAGGGAUGACGGCCUUCGGGUUGUAAAACCUCUUUUAGCAGGGAAGAAGCGAGAGUGACGGUACCUGCAGAAAAAGCGCCGGCUAACUACGUGCCAGCAGCCGCGGUAAUACGUAGGGCGCAAGCGUUAUCCGGAAUUAUUGGGCGUAAAGAGCUCGUAGGCGGUCUGUCGCGUCUGCUGUGAAAACCCGAGGCUCAACCUCGGGCCUGCAGUGGGUACGGGCAGACUAGAGUGCGGUAGGGGAGAUUGGAAUUCCUGGUGUAGCGGUGGAUGCGCAGAUAUCAGGAGGAACACCGAUGGCGAAGGCAGAUCUCUGGGCCGUAACUGACGCUGAGGAGCGAAACGGGCU